UUGCCAUCUGAGGAAGAGCUCCACGAUGCCAGGGUAAUUGUGGUAUCUCUCUUGGAUAUUUCGUUGUUCGGCAUGGAGCUUGAAAUUCUGCCUUGCUAUUCUUUCCUGCGAUUCCUCCCAAAACAAGCAAUGGUGAUGUCACAAGGGCCCAUAUGAGGAAAAUGACAACGAUGGUACCGAAUGGAAGUGCUGCAGUUGCAUGAUAAGCAAUUGCAACAGUAUUAAGGAAGCAGAAUGUGAGAAACAGCGGUCCACAGAACAGACCUCCUGUCAACAACAAAUUCCUUACCUGUAAAAAGAAAUUGAAUUUGAGAUUAGUACAUAUUUUCCUCUUUCUACGUGAUACCAACCGAACAAUCUCAAGUAAAUAUUAAUUCCGCGAAAGGGGCGACCACUACAUUAAUUGUUGGGAACCACUGUUUUUGGUUUCAAGGAUAAUAAGUUGUAAACAACAAAGAGGAAAGGAGAGAAACUACAGAAAGAGAGAAAAGAACGGCGAGGAAAAGCCAGUAAAAGGACGAGGUAAACUUAAAAGAGAAAGUUGUCUCAAAAGAUUGUCAAUCCCACAAAAUUCAUGGAAACUUAGGACAGAAAAUAACACAAUCGGAGCAACAACAACAACAACAAAAACAAGCCCAGUGUAGUCCCACAAGUGGGGAUAAUACAAUCGGAGCAACAUCCCAUAUAGGUGAUACCAACCAAUUGGAUUAAGGUUUGGCCAUGUUGGUACACUUGAAUAAGAGUGUUUAUAAAUAGCCUUUUUUAACAGAUUUGCAUGUCAGUAGUAAAGGUGAAUAAUGUUAGUAAUAUGAUAAGUUUGGAUUAAGGCAUAGCAAUUGUUGUUGUAAGGGAAGCCCAAAAAAGAUGAUGUUAAGUGAAAGGAAGAGAAGAAGCUCCUAAGUCCUAAUUUAUUUUGAUAAGGUGAGAAGCUUUUCUUGUGCUCUCGAACUAGCCCCUAAUUCUCUUAUGGCAAAACCUUGGUAACUCCUAAAAGUGUAGCAGCUUACCCCUUUUGUCAAUCCCCACCUACAUUUCUGCAUCUUUUUUAAAUUCUAAAGAAAUCUCCUAUUAACACCUCCCACCCACCCCCCAACCCCCCAAAAUUUAAUCUUUUUUGCUUCUUCUCAAUUUCUUUCAUCUUUCUCUUAUUUUCAUUUCCUCCUCAACCUCUUGCUCACUCAAGAGUAAACCCCUCCCCUUUUGUUUUUUCCCCUCUUGCCUUUUUCUUUUUCCCGUUGCUCCUUUUUUCCAGUCCUUACCUUCUUCUCUUGUCUCCCCCCCCCCCCCCAACCAGCCAAGACACAUGUUCCCUCCUCAGCCCACCUUCCAUAAUCCACCUUAAAAGUGAAACUAAUGUAGUUUUCCAUCAAACAUACCGAAUAUAAGUGAAAUAUGCUAGGGUGUGUUGCCAAAAAGAUUAUUGCUAUAGGGGCAAACAAGAGUUACUUAAGCUAUUGUUGGAAGACUGAAAACCAUACCAACAUGCUUCAGUGUUGGGUUUGACAUCAUGUGACAUGAAAUAUAGAGAUGUUUGACAUUUUUACAAGCAGAACCUAUAGCCCUUUUUUAUGUAACGACCAAGGGAGAGGCAUAUCCAGGAACACAAGCAUGUUGGGUCUCUAAUUGUCGGAUGCAUAUCAUAGGCCUUCUAUGUUGCGAUAUAGCUCCACCAUUCUCCCUCCCACAAAACAAGAUCUUGUACUGCAGAAUAUGCUCUUUUGAACUAAAUUCGCGGAGAAAGUUUUACACUUUACUCUUAAAAAUCCUAUCACGACUAAUCCAUGUCAAAACCAAGAGACCUUUGCUAACUAGAAGAGAAUGAUGAAAUAAAGAAACUAAGUGAACACAAUAAGAGAUGCACUUGUAGGAAAUUUUGGCUACUUUGCAACAAUAAAAAUAAUGCUCCAUACUUUCUUACCCAAUUUUUUCCUUCAAGUUGGCAAUAGAAUGAUGCUGCAGUAUAGCCUGCAAUUCCUGAUGUAAGAGCAUAAAUAACAACCAAAGCUGUGAAAAGAGCUCCUCGGUUGUAGGGGUAAAACACGCCAACAAGCGCAAGUAUGAAUAUGAAAAUUGUCCUGGGAAAAAGAGGCGGUGAGAAUUAACAUUUGUCAAAGAAAUUUAUCACGAGCUAAAUAAAUCAAGAACCAAAUAAACCCAUUUUAUUGGCAUGCAUACUUACAAGGUAAACAACUGUGUGCCAGAACCCAGGGCUGCUGCAAAAAGUGAGUUCCGCUUUGGGUACCUAAACACGUCGCCGUGAAUGUACUUCCACCCAGUUUCUUCUUGGUCAUCAGCUGUUUCCUCGUCAUGGGCGUAUCUUUAACCAAAACAGGACAUACCAUAGGAUGAGUACAAGCUCCUCGAAAAAUGAGUAUCCUACCCCACAAAAUUUUUAGUUACUUACUUGACAAAGUCAUUUUUAAGGACUCGCAUCAGAAUUGUGGCAAGAAAACCAGUUAAGAGCAGAACUGUGACACAAGAAUUAAUGAUAGAGAACCAGUGGAUCUCCAAAUGAUGUGGUAAAGCUGAAGUCUGUGAGUACUUUUCCAUCCUUUUCUCAAAAGGGAUGUCUGUUUCCUUCCAUUUGACAGAGUACAUGAAGUCUACAUCAACUUCCUUAUCUUCGGUUAUGUCGACUAAGGCAUUGGGAUCAGUUCGUGCAUUAACUUCAAUCACGCGAUCGUUGUUGAAAUGGAUGUCAAAAUGAAGAUGUUUAAAAAGGUAGUAUUUGUACUCAUUGGGGUCAGAUUUUCUCUCCUUAUCUACCUUACCAAUAAAACCCCAAAUGG
This 2789-nucleotide long non-coding RNA is filed under the name Nicotiana tabacum (common tobacco). Its description in RNAcentral is "long non-coding RNA (NTAB_LNC003803)". The record is from RNAcentral. Lineage: Eukaryota; Viridiplantae; Streptophyta; Magnoliopsida; Solanales; Solanaceae.